This 496-nucleotide ribosomal RNA is filed under the name uncultured bacterium. RNAcentral's name for it is "partial 16S ribosomal RNA". It matches the Rfam family "Bacterial small subunit ribosomal RNA", at positions 29 to 507 of the family's 1533-position model. The record is from RNAcentral.
AUGAACGCUGGCGGCGUGCCUAAUACCUGCAAGUCGAGCGAACAGAUGAGGAGCUUGCUCCUCUGACGUUAGCGGCGGACGGGUGAGUAACACGUGGAUAACCUACCUAUAAGACUGGGAUAACUUCGGGAAACCGGAGCUAAUACCGGAUAAUAUAUUGAACCGCAUGGUUCAAUAGUGAAAGACGGUUUUGCUGUCACUUAUAGAUGGAUCCGCGCCGCAUUAGCUAGUUGGUAAGGUAACGGCUUACCAAGGCAACGAUGCGUAGCCGACCUGAGAGGGUGAUCGGCCACACUGGAACUGAGACACGGUCCAGACUCCUACGGGAGGCAGCAGUAGGGAAUCUUCCGCAAUGGGCGAAAGCCUGACGGAGCAACGCCGCGUGAGUGAUGAAGGUCUUCGGAUCGUAAAACUCUGUUAUUAGGGAAGAACAAAUGUGUAAGUAACUAUGCACAUCUUGACGGUACCUAAUCAGAAAGCCACGGCUAACUACGUG